GAAUGGCGGUCGUGACUCACUUGCACUGAGAAGCGUCCCAACCUUAGACUUAGCAAGAAAAAAAAAUAGAAAAAAUAGGAGAGGCAUAGGAAUUCUUUAGUGACCCUAAAUUGUAGUUGACUCUUUAGUAAAGAAGUGUUUAAGCCUGAUUCUGAUUAACGGCUCAUAGUGAGGACUCUGUUGAAGUUUGAUAGUCUUUGUUUUGUUUCACUAGAGAGCAUGCUAGCACACACGAUGCACUUCACACUUGUAGUGGAAGA
Molecule: long non-coding RNA, 260 nt
Filed under: Daucus carota (carrot)
Lineage: Eukaryota; Viridiplantae; Streptophyta; Magnoliopsida; Apiales; Apiaceae
Description: long non-coding RNA (DCAR_LNC002695)
Source: RNAcentral